This 2588-nucleotide ribosomal RNA is filed under the name metagenome. RNAcentral describes it as "bacterial LSU rRNA". It matches the Rfam family "Bacterial large subunit ribosomal RNA", at positions 14 to 2594 of the family's 2925-position model. The record is from RNAcentral.
AGGGCAACAGGUGAAUGCCUUGGCGCUGAGAGGCGAUGAAAGACGCGGUAAGCUGCGAUAAGCAUCGGGGAGGAGCUAAACAUCCUACGAUCCGAUGAUUUCUGAAUGGGGAAACCCGAUGGGAGUCAUGUCCCAUCAUCCUGAGCUGAAUAUAUAGGCCCAGAGAAGCCAACCCGGGGAAGUGAAACAUCUCAGUACCCACAGGAGAAGAAAUCAAAAGAGAUUGCGUCAGUAGUGGCGAGCGAAAGCGCAAGAGGCUAAACCGGUCGGUUUACUGACCGGGGUUGCGGGACUUCGAUAUGGCAAGCUGAAUCGAUAGCAGAAGGAACUGGAAAGUUCCGGCAUAGAGGGUGAUACCCCCGUAAGCGAAAUCGGUUCGAAGCCUGGAAGUAUCCCAAGUAGGUCGGGACACGUGAAACCCUGACUGAAUCCGGGGAGACCACUCUCCAAGCCUAAAUACUCGAUAGUGACCGAUAGCGUAUAGUACCGCGAGGGAAAGGUGAAAAAGCACCCCGGAAGGGGAGUGAAAAGUAUCUGAAAUCAUGUGUCUACAAAGUGUCGGAGCGCAAGCGACGGCAUGCCUUUUGCAUAAUGAGCCUGCGACUUACUCUAACGAGCGAGGUUAAGCCUGGUGCGGAGCCGAAGCGAAAGCGAGUGUGAAUAGCGCGUCUAGUUCGUUGGAGUAGACCCGAAGCUGAGUGAUCUAUCCAUGGCCAGGUUGAAUCUGCGGUAACACGCAGUGGAGGACCGAACCAGUUCAUGUUGAAAAAUGUUUGGAUGAGCUGUGGAUAGGGGUGAAAGGCCAAUCAAACUCAGUGAUAGCUGGUUCUCUUCGAAAUAGCUUUAGGGCUAGCCUUGCGUAAAUAGUUUGUGGGGGUAGAGCUACUGAUUGUUCGCGGGCCCUUACCGGGGUACCAAGAACUAUUAAACUCCGAAUACCAUAAACCGUACCGCAGGAGUCAGACUAUGGGGGAUAAGCUUCAUGGUCGAGAGGGAGACAGCCCAGACCGCCGGCUAAGGUCCCCAAUCUGGACUUAGUGGUUUGAAGGAUGUGAUGUUGCAUAAACAGCCAGGAUGUUGGCUUAGAGGCAGCCAUCAUUUAAAGAGUGCGUAAUAGCUCACUGGUCGAGUGAUAUCGCGCCGAAGAUGAUCGGGACUGAAGUUCAGAACCGAAGCCGCGGAUCGUGAAUUUAUUCACGGUGGUAGAAGAGCGUUGUAUGCGGGUUGAAGCCGAAGAGGGAUCUGAGGUGGACUGCAUACAAGUGACCAUGCAGGCAUGAGUAGCGAAAAACCGGAUGAGAAUUCCGGUCACCGAAAACCCAAGGUUUCCCGGGGAAGGUUCGUCCGCCCGGGGUUAGUCGGAUCCUAAGGCGAGGCUGAAAAGCGUAGUCGAUGGACAACAGGUUAAUAUUCCUGUACUGCCUUGUCGGAGUGAUGGAGGGACGCAGAGAGUCAGGUGAGCCGGCUGCUGAAUAUGCCGGUCGAAGCCCGUGGGACGUGCUGUUGGCAAAUCCGCAGCACACUAGUCUGAGAGGCGUAAGGUAGCCGAACGCAAGUUUGGCGAAUUCACUGCGACUGCACUGACGAGAAAAGCUUCUAAACGAUGAUGACAGGGUAUCCGUACCGUAAACCGACACAGGUGGGUGAGGCGAGAAGCCUAAGGUGCGCGAGAGAAACCAACGUUAAGGAACUCGGCAAAUUAGCCCCGUAACUUCGGAAUAAGGGGUGCCGCCUCUGGUGAAGGGAUUUACUCCCCGAGCUUAGGGCGGUUGCAAUAAAGAGGCCGGUGCGACUGUUUAACAAAAACACAGCUCUAUGCCAACUCGUAAGAGGAUGUAUAUGGAGUGACACGUGACCAAUGCCAAAAGGUCAAUGGGAGAGGUUAGCGCAAGCGAAGCUUCGAUCUGAAGCCCUGGUGAAUGUCGGCCGUAACUAUAACGGUCCUAAGGUAGCGAAAUUCCUUGUCGGGUAAGUUCCGACCUGCACGAAUCGUGAAACGAGUUGGGCACUGUCUCAACCAGGCGCUCAGUGAAAUUGUAGUGGCGGUGAAGAUGCCGCCUACCCGCAGAAGGACGGAAAGACCCUAUAGACCUUAACUGUAAGCUGUCAUUGUUUCUUCGGUUUUAAUGCUCAGAGUAAGUGGGAGACGCUGAAGACGCCCUUUAGGGGGCGUCCGAGUCAUCAAUGAGACACCACCCUUUGAAACUGGAGGAUCUAACCCUGAGCCGUGAAUCCGGCCAGAGGACCGUGUCAGCCGGUCAGUUUUACUGGGGCGGUAUCCUCCCAAAGAGUAACGGAGGAGCGCGAAGGUGGGCUCAGCCCGGUUGGCAACCGGGUGUCGAGUGCAUGGGCAUAAGCCCGCCUAACUGUGAGACCAACAAGUCGAGCAGAUGCGAAAGCAGGCCCAAGUGAUCCGGCGGUAGAAAGUGGAAUUGCCGUCGCUCAACGGAUAAAAGGUACCUUAGGGAUAACAGGCUGAUCACGCCCAAGAGUUCAUAUCGACGGCGUGGUUUGGCACCUCGAUGUCGGCUCGUCGCAUCCUGGGGCUGUAUUCGGUCCCAAGGGUUUGGCUGUUCGCCAAUUAAAGC